UACAGGGGGUGCAAACGUUGCUCGGAAUUAUUGGGCGUAAAGCGCGCGUAGGCGGCUACUUAAGUCGGAUGUGAAAGCCCUUGGCUCAACUGAGGAAGUGCACCCGAAACUGAGUGGCUUGAGUACUAAAGAGGGUCGCGGAAUUCCUGGUGUAGCGGUGAAAUGCGCAGAUAUCAGGAGGAACACCCAUUGCGAAGGCAGCUCGCUGGGACGUUACUGACGCUGAGACGCGAAAGCGUGGGGAGCAAACAGG
This 253-nucleotide ribosomal RNA is filed under the name uncultured bacterium. Its description in RNAcentral is "partial 16S ribosomal RNA". It matches the Rfam family "Bacterial small subunit ribosomal RNA", at positions 524 to 776 of the family's 1533-position model. The record is from RNAcentral.